This 245-nucleotide unclassified non-coding RNA is filed under the name uncultured fungus. RNAcentral's name for it is "sequence contains ITS2". The record is from RNAcentral. Lineage: Eukaryota; Fungi.
AACGCACAUUGCGCCCCUUGGUAUUCCGGGGGGCAUACCUGUUCGAGCGUCAUUUCAACCCUCAAGCCUAGCUUGGUAUUGGGCUUUCAUUUAUAAAAAGAUGAAGCCUCAAAGUCAGUGGCGGCGCUGUUGGGUCCUGAACGUAGUAAAACCUUUCGUUACAGGUACUCCGCGUGCUUCUGCCAUUAAUCCUCUAAUUUUCUAUGGUUGACCUCGGAUCAGGUAGGGAUACCCGCUGAACUUAA